UUACAUUUCUUAUCACUCUCCAAUUUGGAGCAUAUCUUUCAUGCAACUAUUUGAGCUAAAUCAUUGAUAAGAUCAUGCAUCACGAAUCGGGACUUAUCUUUACUAGAUGUCUGAAAAAAUGACCUAGACACUAGAUCUUGAAAAUAUUGAUUUCCAAGAUCUUUAAUUUGAGGCAUAGCAUUUUGUUGCAAGAGACCACCUGCUCUCCAUAACAAGGUGAUUUCUUCUUCCUUAAAUUCAUAAUCUUUAGGAAGUAUGGAGCAAUAUGCAAAACAUCGUUUCAAGUAUGAUGGAAGAUGAUGGUAGCUUAAUCGCAAAGCUGGAAUUAUGCCACACUGCUCUUCUGGUGAAUCCUCAUAUGUAUUUAUGAAGGGAAUUGUGCAUCAAAUUGCCCUGUUGAUAUAUCUGCGUUGUACUUUUUGAUACAUUAUUCAUCUGACAUGUACUUAAAUAAACUUGCAAAGAAUAGCUACGUUUUAGUAAAAUGAAGGGAUUGCUAAUUCAAAAAUACAGAUUAAGUGCAAAGAUUGAUUA
Gossypium arboreum is the source of this 534-nucleotide long non-coding RNA. RefSeq lists it as uncharacterized. The record is from RefSeq and is a predicted model, not a curated record. The transcript has 2 exons. NCBI's taxonomy places the organism in Eukaryota, Viridiplantae, Streptophyta, Magnoliopsida, Malvales, Malvaceae.